GAUGAACGCUGGCGGCGUGCCUAAUACAUGCAAGUCGAGCGAACGGACGAGAAGCUUGCUUCUCUGAUGUUAGCGGCGGACGGGUGAGUAACACGUGGAUAACCUACCUAUAAGACUGGGAUAAAUUCGGGAAGCCGGAGCUAAUACCGGAUGAUAUUUUGAACCGCAUGGUUCAAAAGUGAAAGACGGUCUUGCUGUCACUUAUAGAUGGAUCCGCGCUGCAUUAGCUAGUUGGUAAGGUAACGGCUUACCAAGGCAACGAUGCAUAGCCGACCUGAGAGGGUGAUCGGCCACACUGGAACUGAGACACGGUCCAGACUCCUACGGGAGGCAGCAGUAGGGAAUCUUCCGCAAUGGGCGAAAGCCUGACGGAGCAACGCCGCGUGAGUGAUGAAGGUCUUCGGAUCGUAAAACUCUGUUAUUAGGGAAGAACAUAUGUGUAAGUAACUGUGCACAUCUUGACGGUACCUAAUCAGAAAGCCACGGCUAACUACGUG
RNAcentral lists this ribosomal RNA (497 nucleotides) under uncultured bacterium. RNAcentral's name for it is "partial 16S ribosomal RNA". It matches the Rfam family "Bacterial small subunit ribosomal RNA", at positions 28 to 507 of the family's 1533-position model. The record is from RNAcentral.